RNAcentral lists this ribosomal RNA (405 nucleotides) under uncultured prokaryote. RNAcentral describes it as "bacterial SSU rRNA". It matches the Rfam family "Bacterial small subunit ribosomal RNA", at positions 355 to 774 of the family's 1533-position model. The record is from RNAcentral.
UGGGGAAUAUUGGGCAAUGGGCGCAAGCCUGACCCAGCAACGCCGCGUGAGGGAAGAAGGUUUUCGGAUUGUAAACCUCUGUCCUUGGGGACGAAAAAAAUGACGGUACCCAAGGAGGAAGCUCCGGCUAACUACGUGCCAGCAGCCGCGGUAAUACGUAGGGAGCAAGCGUUGUCCGGAAUUACUGGGCGUAAAGGGUGCGUAGGCGUCAAGGCAAGUCAGAUGUGAAAUCCCCGGGCUUAACUCGGGGGGUGCAUUUGAAACUGCUUUGCUUGAGUGCAGGAGAGGAAAGCGGAAUUCCUAGUGUAGCGGUGAAAUGCGUAGAUAUUAGGAGGAACACCAGUGGCGAAGGCGGCUUUCUGGACUGCAACUGACGCUGAGGCACGAAAGCGUGGGGAGCAAACA